UACGUAGGGCGCAAGCGUUGUCCGGAAUUAUUGGGCGUAAAGAGCUCGUAGGCGGUUUGUCGCGUCUGCCGUGAAAACCCGAGGCUUAACCUCGUGGCUUGCGGUGGAUACGGGCAGACUAGAGGUAGGUAGGGGAGAAUGGAAUUCCCGGUGCAGCGGUGAAAUGCGCAGAUAUCGGGAGGAACACCGGUGGCGAAGGCGGUUCUCUGGGCCUUACCUGACGCUGAGGAGCGAAAGCGUGGGGAGCGAACAGG
Molecule: ribosomal RNA, 254 nt
Filed under: uncultured bacterium
Lineage: Bacteria
Description: partial 16S ribosomal RNA
Rfam family: Bacterial small subunit ribosomal RNA
Source: RNAcentral